UUCCGGUUGAUCCUGCCAGAGGUGACUGCUAUCGAGAUUCGAUUAAGCCAUGCGAGUUGAAUGUUCUUCGUGAACAUGGCGGACUGCUCAGUAACACGUGGACAACCUACCCUUGGAUCUGGGAUAAACCCGGGAAACUGGGCAUAAUACCGGAUAAGCCACAUAUGCUGGAAUGCUUUGUGGCUCAAAGCUCCGGCGUCCAAGGAUGGGUCUGCGACCUAUCAGGGUAGUAGUGGGUGAAAUGUACCUACUAGCCUACGACGGGUACGGGUCGUGAGAGCAAGAGCCCGGAGAUGGAUUCUGAGACACGAAUCCAGGCCCUACGGGGUGCAGCAGGCGCGAAAACUUUACAAUGCGGGAAACCGCGAUAAGGGAAUCUCGAGUGCCAGCAUAUAAUGUUGGCUGUCCAGAUGCCUAAAAAGCAUUUGUUAGCAAGGGCCGGGCAAGACCGGUGCCAGCCGCCGCGGUAACACCAGCGGCCCGAGUGGUAACCGUUAUUAUUGGGUCUAAAGGGUCUGUAGCCGGCCGAAUAAGUCUCUUGGGAAAUCUGGCAGCUUAACUGUCAGGCAGUCAGGGGAUACUGUUCGGCUUGGGACCGGGAGAGGUGAGAGGUACCUCGGGGGUAGGGGUGAAAUCUUGUGAUCCUCGAGGGACCACCAGUGGCGAAGGCGUCUCACCAGAACGGGUCCGACGGUAAGGGACGAAAGCUAGGGGCACGAACCGGAUUAGAUACCCGGGUAGUCCUAGCCAUAAACGAUGCUUGCUAGGUGUCAGCCACGGUGCGACCGUGGUUGGUGCCGUAGGGAAGCCGUGAAGCGAGCCACCUGGGAAGUACGGCCGCAAGGCUGAAACUUAAAGGAAUUGGCGGGGGAGCACUACAACGGGUGGAGCUGCGGUUUAAUUGGAUUCAACGCCGGGA
RNAcentral lists this ribosomal RNA (919 nucleotides) under uncultured archaeon. RNAcentral's name for it is "bacterial SSU rRNA". It matches the Rfam family "Archaeal small subunit ribosomal RNA", at positions 1 to 923 of the family's 1478-position model. The record is from RNAcentral.